GUCUCGUUAGCUCAGUCGGUAGAGCAUCUCACUUUUAAUGAGGGGGCCCUAGGUUCGAAUCCUAGACGGGACA
Sulfurovum sp. AS07-7 is the source of this 73-nucleotide non-coding RNA. The record is from Rfam. Lineage: Bacteria; Pseudomonadati; Campylobacterota; Epsilonproteobacteria; Campylobacterales; Sulfurovaceae.